Molecule: ribosomal RNA, 468 nt
Filed under: uncultured bacterium
Lineage: Bacteria
Description: partial 16S ribosomal RNA
Rfam family: Bacterial small subunit ribosomal RNA
Source: RNAcentral
GACGAACGCUGGCGGCGUGCCUAACACAUGCAAGUCGAACGGAAAGGCCCUGCUUUUGUGGGGUGCUCGAGUGGCGAACGGGUGAGUAACACGUGAGUAACCUGCCCUUGACUUUGGGAUAACUUCAGGAAACUGGGGCUAAUACCGGAUAGGAGCUCCUGCUGCAUGGUGGGGGUUGGAAAGUUUCGGUGGUUGGGGAUGGACUCGCGGCUUAUCAGCUUGUUGGUGGGGUAGUGGCUUACCAAGGCUUUGACGGGUAGCCGGCCUGAGAGGGUGACCGGCCACAUUGGGACUGAGAUACGGCCCAGACUCCUACGGGAGGCAGCAGUGGGGAAUAUUGCACAAUGGGCGGAAGCCUGAUGCAGCAACGCCGCGUGCGGGAUGACGGCCUUCGGGUUGUAAACCGCUUUCGCCUGUGACGAAGCGUGAGUGACGGUAAUGGGUAAAGAAGCACCGGCUAACUACGUG